GACGAACGCUGGCGGCGUGCUUAACACAUGCAAGUCGAACGGAAAGGCCCUGCUUUUGUGGGGUGCUCGAGUGGCGAACGGGUGAGUAACACGUGAGUAACCUGCCCUUGACUUUGGGAUAACUUCAGGAAACUGGGGCUAAUACCGGAUAGGAGCUCCUGCUGCAUGGUGGGGGUUGGAAAGUUUCGGCGGUUGGGGAUGGACUCGCGGCUUAUCAGCUUGUUGGUGGGGUAGUGGCUUACCAAGGCUUUGACGGGUAGCCGGCCUGAGAGGGUGACCGGGCACAUUGGGACUGAGAUACGGCCCAGGCUCCUACGGGAGGCAGCAGUGGGGAAUAUUGCACAAUGGGCGGAAGCCUGAUGCAGCAACGCCGCGUGCGGGAUGACGGCCUUCGGGUUGUAAACCGCUUUCGCCUGUGACGAAGCGUGAGUGACGGUAAUGGGUAAAGAAGCACCGGCUAACUACGUG
Molecule: ribosomal RNA, 468 nt
Filed under: uncultured bacterium
Lineage: Bacteria
Description: partial 16S ribosomal RNA
Rfam family: Bacterial small subunit ribosomal RNA
Source: RNAcentral